Molecule: long non-coding RNA, 4171 nt
Organism: Leopardus geoffroyi (Geoffroy's cat)
Lineage: Eukaryota; Metazoa; Chordata; Mammalia; Carnivora; Felidae
Exons: 9
Source: RefSeq, a predicted model, not a curated record
GACUAGAGAGAGUGUCGGCGCAGGGGGAAAAAUGUGAAUCUCCUGCAUUUUAUUUAGAAUUCAGAGAGUCGUUACUUUGAGACCAAGAUGCCAUUUGUGUUUCUGUGAUCGAAAGCCUCACACAAAUCCCACCUUUACCACGGUUUGCAGCUCUAGUAACUUGGGAAGGAGCUGCCGUGGUUUCUAGGAGCUGUCAUGGCAAACCUCCGUCUGCAGAACAUCUCUGGGCUCAGCAGCCUGUUGCAUCGGGGGCACCUGCGGCCCUCCAGGGAGGCCCUGCCGCAGCGGCACCUUGCCCUCCAGCCCUGCAGAGGUGACGGUGGUUCUCUGCCAGAUUCAGGGAAACCCUAUCAGCAGAGGUCCGGGGUGGGGGGGGGGCCACACAGCCUGCACCUCUUCUGACCCCGUCCAGAUGCAUUAGAGUCCCAAGCGUCCCGCGGUUCCCAACGACUAAAUGGGUCCCUGCUGAGUAAGGACACACAACGGCGCCCGCUACAGGAGGAGGAACUUUCCAAGCGUUUACUCAUCGCCUUUUCUUUGCUGAGCACAGAUCCGGAGUCACAAGACAAACCACGUGUCCGCGCGUCCGGAAGCAGAGGGAGGAGCCCGACUUCCCGGGCUUCGUCUGAUCGUGCGCGGAGCACACAAGGUUCCGGGAAGCAGGACCACCGACAGGCACGGGAGGCUCAGCUGAGGGCGUGGACACGGGCCACAGUCUGACAAGUGCUACAAGGGACCGUCCUCAGCUACAGGAGCCCCGUGACUCUGGAGUCGGAGAAGCCUGGGUUUCGGUCGCUUCUCUCUCUCUGCCAGCCUCAGUCUCCCUGUGUGGGCCACGGAACAGCUCCACCGUCCGAGCCGGGCAUCCUGGAGGCGGGUGGCCGCGGGGGUCUGGCUCUGCCGCCCUGCUCAUGUCUGGCGGACACGCCUCAGUCCCCGGCAAGCCUUAGGCCUCCUGCUCCGCGUCCGAAAGGCCGCGGUGACACCGGGACCACACCCCUCCCCCCACCACGUCAGGGCGGAACCCAAGGCGCGGCGCCUCCCCUCCCAUCCAGCGGGAGAAUCUUUCCCAUGAUUCCCCCUGCAGGCAGCCCCUCGCAGUUCGUUGGCCAGGCUUGGGUCACAUGACGGCUUAGACCAAUCACCGGGCAAGUGGCGCAAGAUUGGCACGACGGCUCAGCCAAUCAUAAAAAGCUAUGGGCAGGGUCAAGGCUGCUCCUCUCUGAGGACUUCCAGGCUUCCCACAGGAUGCGCUUCUGGAGCAGAUGUACAGUGGAAAGAAUGUUCCAGAAGUCCCCAUGCCGCCCCAGGGGCAGCUCUGGGACGCACUAGGAGACCUGCCCCAGAACCACCGUGGUUCGCUCCAGCCUGCACACUGUCUCCCCUGGCCUGUGGAGACCGGGUGGGUGCCGUGGUAGCCUCAGCCGCACAAUAGCGGGGUGUGGAAAAUCGGGGUGUGGGCGUGGGAAAUGGGGAGAGACAGACCGCAGGAGAAUCGGAGUCGGGGGGAGAGGAAGGAGCUGGGGACAGGGCGGGACAGGCAGGAGUCAGGCCAAGGCCAGAUGUGCACACGGACUCUCCACGAAGCCAGAUGAGCGUGGAUGAAGAUGCCCACUUGGGCGGGGCUUCCCAGAAGGGUGACAGGGUGGCUGGCCACCCCCAUGCUGGUGUGUGGACGGUGUCACCCUCCUGAUGUCUGCGUCGGAGCCUGGGAUCCAAACAGGAAGCGUGUCAUUGUCAGUCUCGCCACCGCCGGCCCCCUUGCUGCCGCAGUAACACAUCAAGGUCACCUGUCGGAGGCCGAGCACUGAGGCGUCUACUUCUCACCGGUGCCGGGUCCAGCAGGGUCAGUGGGGGUGCCCUCCACGCAGUGACACAGGGGCCCCGGCUGCGUCCGUCUCACCCCGGGGCUCCCAAGGUCGGGCCGGGACCUGCUCCUGACCUCCAGCCCCGCAGUGGCCGCUCGUCUCGGUGCAGACGGUCUGGAGCCCCUUGGCCUGGCUGACGGGACGGGGCUCACUGUCCCGCUCCUCUGUGUGACCUCUCUGGUCACUUCCCCGUCCCAGAAAUGGGUGGUGACGUCACCUCUGUGCUCGGCUGGCGGUGAGGACAGACGCUGGCCCGCGAUCAGCACACGAGAAAUGCUGCCUGUCGUUAUGCUCGACAGCAGGGACGUGGCAACAGAACAGAAGCCCGUCUGCGCGCGUUCGAAGCACCGGAGUGACGUGAGGUUGUCGUUGCCUCCUCGCGGACCAGCCUCACGGUGCGAAGCGGCGGACGGUCGCGGCUCCGCCCCGGCCUGGACCCGCAGCCUGCAGCCCAAGGUCACCAGCGGAGUCUCCUUUCCCACGCGGGGAGCAGCCGUCCUGUCCGGCGCCUCUUCCCUCGGCACCGCGUCCCUGAGCCAGCAUUCCGUCCAAGUGUUGUUGCACCUUCCUUCCUGGACUUGCCUGGGUCACGCACUCAUCCCCGAAUAGGCACGGCGGCCUGAGGGACACAGCGCGCUGUUAACUCAGGCCACGUAACGGGUUGCUUCCCAGCCACGGAUGGAGUCAACUUCGACUUACGUGGGCUGCAGGAACAGGAGCUAAUCUCCAGGGACACACGUGGACCCUCGCCAGCCCAGGGAUCGCGCCUCGGGAUCUACAGAACACGGCUCACGGACUUGUCUUCAUCUUCCCUAGCUCCCCUGGUUGCUGAGGCAGUGGAUUUCAAAGACCCUGCGAUGCCUCGUGGGAGAUUCCAGACUUCAGCAUCAGAAAUGUAUUUGAACGCACCAGUCUCGGUAGCGUAUUUGUCACAAAUGGGGCUAAACCGACCAGCACGGCCAACUUAUAUCUGGGUAAUGAGCCAAGAGUCUGCUCUUCCCGCUGAAAGUGGGAUUUAACUUGGCAUUUCAUCAGAAAGAGGAGAAGAUGCAUGUGUUUUCACAUCUUCUCAUUUCCGACCGUCUGAGCAUCAGUCAGCACCCCAAGUUAUCAAGUCAGAAUGCAGUGGAACUGUUCUGUGAGCUGUGGAGCCACAUUCCUGGUUCGGGUUCCUUGGAGCCCUGAGCAGACGGAUCUCCCGUGGACCCGCCGGAACACGGAGCUGAGAGCCUGCUCCGUGUCAGUGAGGCCACUGUGGCUUUCAGGGCAUUUGACAUCGAGCAUGUGUUUUCGGGGACCCAGAAGAAGAGCCUUCAGGGCUCUUUGAGGAAGGACUUGCAGGAGAAGAAUCCUCCACCCCAAGGGAACACAGCAUCGUGUCUUGCCUGGUGCCUGCACAGCCCCCUGACUGGUCUAGUGGCUUCCACAGAUGUUCCCUCACCCCCUCUGCACUCCUGGGGCAGACUGAAUGAGCUUUUAAAGAAACACAUCUUGUCCUUUGCCCCUUCUGCUGGGGACCUGCACUGCUCCCCUCACACCUGAGAGGAUUCCGGCGUCUGUCUGCAUCCGCCUGCGGGGUCUCUGUUCUCAUGGCUGUUCGUGCCUCAAGAAGCAAACGUGGCAUGUUCCUGAGUCAUAAUACGACACACACACGUCCGUUAGUCACCCAGGAGGCUCAGUUCAUCAAGAGAUUUGGAGGCAGUUGUUGAAGCACGUGUGGACGACUCACCAGGCCCUUGUUGGCGCAUCGGCAGACUGGAAACCCUGCUCGCCCUUUCCACGUGGACCAGUGUCCUCACGCCGGGGCCUGGCCAGGGGCUCGCUCCCCAUGUCUGAGGGCGCCGAGUCCCCGCUGCGGCCCGCUGGCUCAGGGCCCAGCUGGGGUCCGACGGAGGGGGCGGCAGAGUGGGGCUGCAGUGCAGGAGUGCUUCCUGGUGGCGAUGGUGAGGCAGCCUCCUGAGGACGCUGGUGAUGGGGCAGCGUCUCCCCUCCACUCUCCUCUCGUGUCUUCAUCGCUAAGGAUGUUUGAACACGAGUGACCCUGACUGACCCUGGCUGCUUGACGCAGAAGAGGAAACAGCUCGGGUGACCUGGAAGGGCAGUGGGGGCAGGGCUGACCGAAUGCCAUCAGAACGUCCCCUCCCAGCUCUGGUGGCAGCUUCACUGCAGCCGGAUAGAGGGUGCACAGCCGGCUGGGUCCCUGGUGGCAGGAGUCCCCUCCAGGGGGCUGGUGCCCUUGGUGAAAAUCAGGGCGCAAUGAGCCAGGAGGUGGGUCUGGAGAUGCGGGUGCAAGUUCUCCUGAG